This 466-nucleotide ribosomal RNA is filed under the name Chamaeleo dilepis roperi. RNAcentral describes it as "partial 16S ribosomal RNA". It matches the Rfam family "Bacterial large subunit ribosomal RNA", at positions 1921 to 2615 of the family's 2925-position model. Lineage: Eukaryota; Metazoa; Chordata; Lepidosauria; Squamata; Chamaeleonidae. The record is from RNAcentral.
CCCUAAACGGCCGCGGUACAAAACCGUGCAAAGGUAGCACAAUCACUUGUCCCUUAAAUGAGGACCCGUAUGAAAGGCAACAUGAGAGAUAAACCUGUCUCCUAAGGUUAGCCAAUGAAAUUGAUCUAUCAGUACAAAAGCUGAUAUAACAAAGCAAGACAAAAAGACCCUAUGGAACUUUAACAAAUUACUUAAACAAAAUAAGCAAUAGUUUUAGUUGGGACAACUUUAGAAAAAAUAAACUUCUAACACAUCACCUUGACCAACAAGUCUCCAACACACAAGAUCCAGUAACACUGACAAACGGAACAAGCUACCCUAGGGAUAACAGCGCCACCUUCUCAAAGAGUUCAUAUCAACAAGAAGACCUACGACCUCGAUGUUGGAUCAGGGUACCCAGACGGUGCAGCAGCUGUCAAUGGUUCGUUUGUUCAACGAUUAACACCCUACGCGAUCUGAGUUCAGA